Molecule: ribosomal RNA, 378 nt
Filed under: uncultured soil bacterium
Lineage: Bacteria
Description: bacterial SSU rRNA
Rfam family: Bacterial small subunit ribosomal RNA
Source: RNAcentral
AGAUUGAACGCUGGCGGCAGGCCUAACACAUGCAAGUCGAGCGGCAGCACGGGUACUUGUACCUGGUGGCGAGCGGCGGACGGGUGAGUAAUGCCUAGGAAUCUGCCUGAUAGUGGGGGAUAACGCUCGGAAACGGACGCUAAUACCGCAUACGUCCUACGGGAGAAAGCAGGGGACCUUCGGGCCUUGCGCUAUCAGACGAGCCUAGGUCGGAUUAGCUAGUUGGUGGGGUAAUGGCUCACCAAGGCGACGAUCCGUAACUGGUCUGAGAGGAUGAUCAGUCAUACUGGAACUGAGACACGGGUCCAGACUCCUACGGGAGGCAGCAGUGGGGAAUAGUUGGACAAGUGGGCGAAAGCCUGACUCCAGCCAUCGCCG